AAUCAGACUGGAGGAAGUACAGCAAGC
This 27-nucleotide non-coding RNA is filed under the name Cricetulus griseus (Chinese hamster). Lineage: Eukaryota; Metazoa; Chordata; Mammalia; Rodentia; Cricetidae. The record is from RNAcentral.